This is a non-coding RNA of Phrynosoma platyrhinos (Desert horned lizard), 72 nucleotides long. Lineage: Eukaryota; Metazoa; Chordata; Lepidosauria; Squamata; Phrynosomatidae. The record is from the annotation of a GenBank genome assembly.
GCCAGGAUGGUGCAGUGGCUUGAACACUGGACUAUGACUCUGGAGACCAGGGUCUGAAUCCCAGCUCAGCCA